UGUUAUGUUGACUUGUGUUUUAGGUAUGUGUUAGCAGUUAGCUCUUCGUUUGUCUCUUUUAUAAUGUUGUGGACUAAUCGUUUGUUAUUUCAUUUUAGCCUGUCUUUUCCUUUGUUUUCUGUCGAUGGCCAUGAGUUUAAUGACUGCUGUUUAUUCAGGAUUCUCCCUUUCGUCCUGGGCGAUUAAAUGCGCCGUUCCUGACGUUUUUUUCCUGUCGCGCCGUGAACUUUCGGUUACUCGGAAGUCUUAGUUGAUACGGAGAUCUAUUACCCGCUACCUGCUUCCCGCUACCUGCUUCCCGCUACCUGCUACCUGCUAUCUGCUACCUGCUACCUGCUAUCUACUACUGAUCCCUGUGAUUGUGAUUUGUGUUACUGGUUAUUAUUGUUUGUUUUGUUUUGUUUAAAGUGGUUCUGCUUGAGGGCAUCUAUUUGAUUAUGGAGUAGCCGGUGCCCUGUGUGGAUUUUGCUCCUCCAUUGUGGAACUACAAAAAUUGUAUUCUUUUUCUUUCCUUUUUUAUAAUUUGUGUAUUUUUUGUUUUGUUGGACAUUUUGUAUUGUUUAUAUUCAACAUUAGUUUGCCUUGGUUGAAUUUGUUUGUUCGUUUCCCUUUCCUUUUCUUGUGACAUUAUUGCCUGGAUUAGUGUGUAAGGUUUUGGUUUGUGUAAUACACAUUGCAUAUACUCAUUUUAUUUUUAUCUUCUUACAGGAGCUGGGGUUCCACGGGUGCAGGAGCUUGAGGUGGUGGUGUCACUUCAUCAUUUGCUGUGGACACGUUUGUGUGUGCAGUGAGUGUGUCGGGGUGUGUGUGUGUGUGUGGAGGUGUAAGUGUGCUUUUGGCUAAAUUCAGCACUGGUGAUCACUCCCGUGGGUGACCUCAGCCCUUUACCAUUGGAGAGUGCUGCCGGCAGUAGGUGAUGAGGAUUCAAUGUGACUUUUAAAUGGUGAAACAAUUGUGAAAAUAAAUUUUGUACUUUCAUGCUUUA
This is a long non-coding RNA of Puntigrus tetrazona (Sumatra barb), 985 nucleotides long. RefSeq lists it as uncharacterized. Lineage: Eukaryota; Metazoa; Chordata; Actinopteri; Cypriniformes; Cyprinidae. The transcript is spliced from 3 exons. The record is from RefSeq and is a predicted model, not a curated record.